RNAcentral lists this ribosomal RNA (756 nucleotides) under uncultured bacterium. RNAcentral's name for it is "bacterial SSU rRNA". It matches the Rfam family "Bacterial small subunit ribosomal RNA", at positions 8 to 796 of the family's 1533-position model. The record is from RNAcentral.
AGAGUUUGAUCAUGGCUCAGAAUCAACGCUGGCGGCGCGCUUAACACAUGCAAGUCGCACGAGAAAGUGGAGCAAUCCAUGAGUAAAGUGGCGUACGGGUGAGUAACACGUGGAUUAUCUACCUUUUAGUGGGGAAUACCCCUGGGAAACCGGGGACAAUACCGCAUAAGCUCGUGAGAGGAAAGCCGAAAGGCGCUGAAAGAGGAGUCCGCGGCUGAUUAGCUAGUUGGCGGGGUAACGGCCCACCAAGGCGAAGAUCGGUAGCCGGCCUGAGAGGGCACACGGCCACACUGGCACUGAAACACGGGCCAGACUCCUACGGGAGGCAGCAGUGGGGAAUCUUGCACAAUGGAGGAAACUCUGAUGCAGCGACGCCGCGUGAGCGAUGAAGCCCUUCGGGGUGUAAAGCUCUUUCGGCAGGAACGAUAAUGACGGUACCUGCAGAAGAAGCUGCGGCUAACUACGUGCCAGCAGCCGCGGUAAUACGUAGGCAGCAAGCGUUGUUCGGAAUUACUGGGCGUAAAGAGUGUGUAGGUGGUGUCGUAAGUUUGGUGUGAAAUCUCCCGGCUUAACCGGGAGGGUGCGCCGAAGACUGCGAUGCUGGAGUAUGGGAGAGGAAAGCGGAAUUCCUGGUGUAGCGGUGAAAUGCGUAGAUAUCAGGAGGAACACCUGCGGUGUAGACGGCUUUCUGGACCAUUACUGACACUGAGACACGAAAGCGUGGGUAGCAAACAGGAUUAGAUACCCUAGUAGUCC